GACGAACGCUGGCGGCGUGCUUAACACAUGCAAGUCGAACGGAAAGGCCCUGCUUUUGUGGGGUGCUCGAGUGGCGAACGGGUGAGUAACACGUGAGUAACCUGCCCUUGACUUUGGGAUAACUUCAGGAAACUGGGGCUCAUACCGGAUAGGAGCUCCUGCUGCAUGGUGGGGGUUGGAAAGUUUCGGCGGUUGGGGAUGGACUCGCGGCUUAUCAGCUUGUUGGUGGGGUAGUGGCUUACCAAGGCUUUGACGGGUAGCCGGCCUGAGAGGGUGACCGGCCACAUUGGGACUGAGAGACGGCGCAGUCUCGUACGGGAGGCAGCAGUGGGGAAUAUUGCACAAUGGGGGGAAGCCUGAUGCAGCAACGCCGCGUGCGGGAUGACGUCCUUCGGGUGGUAAACAGCUUUCGCCGGUGACGAAGCGUGAGUGACGGUAAUGGGUAAAGAAGCACCGGCUAACUACGUG
This 468-nucleotide ribosomal RNA is filed under the name uncultured bacterium. RNAcentral describes it as "partial 16S ribosomal RNA". It matches the Rfam family "Bacterial small subunit ribosomal RNA", at positions 28 to 507 of the family's 1533-position model. The record is from RNAcentral.